GCACAGAACCUGGAGAAGAAGAAGCAAUUAAAGAGACAAGUGAAAUGGGUUCUCUGGUUUUCUGGGUUCUUCUCUUGGGUUCUCUGCUUCCACCCAGACCUCUCUUGUCUUCCUCUAAUGGCCUUUCUGAAAAUUUCUAUGCAAACACAUGCCCAAAUGUGGAAACCUUCAUCUGGAAUGCUUUAGUAGAGAAGUUGAAAGAACCCUUCAGGCCUACUCUCCCUGGCACUCUUCGCCUCUUCUUCCAUGACUGCUUCGUUGAGGGUUGCGACGGCUCGGUGUUCAUCUCAUCUAAAGCAUAUGAUGCAGAAAGAGAUGCUGAAAUUAACCUUUCUUUGAUCCCAGAUGGUUUCGAAGUUGUUAACCUGGCAAAGAAAGCUGUUGAAGCAGCAUGUCCCGGGCCAUUCUAGCCCGUGAUGUUGUCUACUAUGCAAACGGUCCAUGGUGGCCGGUUGAGAAGGGGAGGAGAGAUGGAAGGAAUUCCAAGGCUGCCAACGCAGCUGCCCAGUUGCCAAGUGGCAACUCCAACUUGACUGAUCUUAUUGAAAUGUUCCAAUCAAAGGGACUGGGUUAUGAUAAAAUUCGAUGAAACGCCGUUUCAGUUUGAUAACUUGUACUACAAGCGCUUGAUGCAGCUCAGAGGACUACUGACGUCCGAUCAAGAGCUGUUUUCCGGCGGCGACGAAUAUAUCCGGUCAAUUGUUUCGCGGUUUGCCGAAGACCAGGAGCUGUUUUUCAAGUCCUUUGGUAGUGCCAUGAAGAGGUUGGGAGCUGUUGGGGUUAAAACUGGAACUGAAGGGGAGAUUAGAAAGGACUGUAUUAGGUUCAAUUCAUUCUUCUUGUCUGUUAUGGGUAGGGAGUGGUUGAGUUGUAGUGGAUGACGUGUGUAGUUGCGUGAGUUAUGUAUGGUUGCAUGUGGUUAUAUAAGUUACAUAUAGUUAUGGAGGUAUGGGUUACAUGGGUUGUGUGGGUCACGUGAUAUUAGAUAGUGUUAUCGCAAGUGUUGUACGUUACCCAAACUGUUCUUGAGUAAUUGUUAAUUGUUAUUUAAUAGAAGUCCUACAGUAUCGGGAGGUAUCUUUGAACCCGA
This is a long non-coding RNA of Macadamia integrifolia, 1090 nucleotides long. RefSeq lists it as uncharacterized. NCBI's taxonomy places the organism in Eukaryota, Viridiplantae, Streptophyta, Magnoliopsida, Proteales, Proteaceae. The transcript has 3 exons. The record is from RefSeq and is a predicted model, not a curated record.